This 410-nucleotide unclassified non-coding RNA is filed under the name Hevea brasiliensis (rubber tree). Lineage: Eukaryota; Viridiplantae; Streptophyta; Magnoliopsida; Malpighiales; Euphorbiaceae. The record is from RNAcentral.
GAUUUGAUGUUAUUUGAAGACUUAGAGUGGUAAGAAAGUUGAAGAAAUUCUACGUAAAGAAAGUUAGGAAUCUUCAUGAGAUUCUACACUGGGUAGUGUUACUUCUCAAGUUCAGCAAGAAAAAAAUUUAAGAGAAACUACAAUUUUUAGAUGAAGUGACAUGAGGCAUGUUACUUAGUCAAUCGCAGCAAAGAGAAAAGUUAAGGGAGAUAGCAAUUUUCAUAUGAAGUCACGUGGCCCAUGUUACUUUACAAGUUUAUCCACAUAGGGUAUGUUAAAAUACAAUACUAGGUCAUGUUACCUAGCAUAUUUUUAUGCUAAUUAGAAUUAUUUUUUUACACAUCACUAUUUUUGUAUCUUUUGUAUUUAUCCCCUUUUAGCCUAUUUUAGCGUAGAUUUUUAGAGACAUA